AUUGAACGCUGGCGGCAGGCCUAACACAUGCAAGUCGAACGGUAACAGGAAGCAGCUUGCUGCUUUGCUGACGAGUGGCGGACGGGUGAGUAAUGUCUGGGAAACUGCCUGAUGGAGGGGGAUAACUACUGGAAACGGUAGCUAAUACCGCAUAACGUCGCAAGACCAAAGAGGGGGACCUUAGGGCCUCUUGCCAUCGGAUGUGCCCAGAUGGGAUUAGCUAGUAGGUGGGGUAACGGCUCACCUAGGCGACGAUCCCUAGCUGGUCUGAGAGGAUGACGCGCCAAACUGGAAAUGGAGAAAGGGGCCAGAUCCUAAGGGGGGCAAGCAGUGGGAAUUUUGCAGCAAGGGGCGAAGGCGUAAGGAGGCAAGGCGGGGGUAUGGAGGAGGCCUUCGGGUUGUUAAAUACUUUUAGCGGGGGGAAAGGGAAUAUAGUUGAAACCUUUGCCCAUUGGCGUUACCCUAAGAAGAAAGACCGGCUAACUCCGUG
Molecule: ribosomal RNA, 490 nt
Filed under: uncultured bacterium
Lineage: Bacteria
Description: partial 16S ribosomal RNA
Rfam family: Bacterial small subunit ribosomal RNA
Source: RNAcentral